RNAcentral lists this ribosomal RNA (362 nucleotides) under uncultured bacterium. RNAcentral's name for it is "bacterial SSU rRNA". It matches the Rfam family "Bacterial small subunit ribosomal RNA", at positions 441 to 793 of the family's 1533-position model. The record is from RNAcentral.
AGGAAGGUAGUGUAGUUAACACCUGCACUAUUUGACGUUACCUACAGAAGAAGCACCGGCUAACUCCGUGCCAGCAGCCGCGGUAAUACGGAGGGGUGCGAGCGUUAAUCGGAAUUACUGGGCGUAAAGCGCAUGCAGGCGGCCUGUUAAGUCAGAUGUGAAAGACCCGGGGCGUUAACCUCGGAAUUGCAUUUGUAAACUAGGCAGGCUAGAGUCUUGUAGAGGGGGGUAGGAAUUUCAGGUGUAGCGGUGAAAUGCGUAGAGAUCUGAAGGAAUACCAGUGGCGAAGGCGGCCCCCUGGACAAAGACUGACGCUCAGAUGCGAAAGCGUGGGGAGCAAACAGGAUUAGAUACCCUGGUAG